GGGUCAGAACGAACGCUGGCUUCGCGCUUAACACAUGCAAGUCGAGUGCCCCGGGGCAACUCGGGGAGCGGCUAGUUGUUGCCGUAAACGUGGGUAAUCGACCCCCGACACCGGGAUAGCCCAGGGGAAACAUUGGAUUAAUACCGGAUGCCCCAUCUGGCUUUCGAGCCGGCUGGAAAAGGGUAGCUUCUGCCUCCGGUAGGGGACGAGCCCUCGGCGGAUUAACUUGUUGGUGAUGUAAAGGCUCAACUCGCCACGAUUCGUAGCUGGUCUGAUAGGACGAUCAUCCACACUGGGACUGACACACGGCCCAGACUCCUACGGGAGGCAGCAGUGGGA
Molecule: ribosomal RNA, 339 nt
Filed under: uncultured bacterium
Lineage: Bacteria
Description: bacterial SSU rRNA
Rfam family: Bacterial small subunit ribosomal RNA
Source: RNAcentral